CCUACGGGUGGCAGCAGUGAGGAAUAUUGGUCAAUGGACGAGAGUCUGAACCAGCCAAGUAGCGUGAAGGAUGACUGCCCUAUGGGUUGUAAACUUCUUUUAUAUGGGAAUAACAUGUUCCACGUGUGGGAUUUUGUAUGUACCAUAUGAAUAAGGAUCGGCUAACUCCGUGCCAGCAGCCGCGGUAAUACGGAGGAUCCGAGCGUUAUCCGGAUUUAUUGGGUUUAACGGGAGCGUAGGUGGAUUGUUAAGUCAGUUGUGAAAGUUUGCGGCUCAACCGUAAAAUUGCAGUUGAAACUGGCAGUCUUGAGUACAGUAGAGGUGAGCGGAAUUCGUGGUGUAGCGGUGAAAUGCUUAGAUAUCACGAAGAACUCCGAUUGCGAAGGCAGUUCACUGGACUGCAACUGACGCUGAGGCUCGAAAGUGUGGGUAUCAAACAGGAUUAGAUACCCGUGUAGUC
This 460-nucleotide ribosomal RNA is filed under the name uncultured bacterium. RNAcentral describes it as "partial 16S ribosomal RNA". It matches the Rfam family "Bacterial small subunit ribosomal RNA", at positions 338 to 795 of the family's 1533-position model. The record is from RNAcentral.